This 1712-nucleotide ribosomal RNA is filed under the name Escherichia coli. Its description in RNAcentral is "partial 23S ribosomal RNA". It matches the Rfam family "Bacterial large subunit ribosomal RNA", at positions 1 to 1746 of the family's 2925-position model. Lineage: Bacteria; Pseudomonadati; Pseudomonadota; Gammaproteobacteria; Enterobacterales; Enterobacteriaceae. The record is from RNAcentral.
GGGUUGUGAGGUUAAGCGACUAAGCGUACACGGUGGAUGCCCUGGCAGUCAGAGGCGAUGAAGGACGUGCUAAUCUGCGAUAAGCGUCGGUAAGGUGAUAUGAACCGUUAUAACCGGCGAUUUCCGAAUGGGGAAACCCAGUGUGUUUCGACACACUAUCAUUAACUGAAUCCAUAGGUUAAUGAGGCGAACCGGGGGAACUGAAACAUCUAAGUACCCCGAGGAAAAGAAAUCAACCGAGAUUCCCCCAGUAGCGGCGAGCGAACGGGGAGCAGCCCAGAGCCUGAAUCAGUGUGUGUGUUAGUGGAAGCGUCUGGAAAGGCGCGCGAUACAGGGUGACAGCCCCGUACACAAAAAUGCACAUACUGUGAGCUCGAUGAGUAGGGCGGGACACGUGGUAUCCUGUCUGAAUAUGGGGGGACCAUCCUCCAAGGCUAAAUACUCCUGACUGACCGAUAGUGAACCAGUACCGUGAGGGAAAGGCGAAAAGAACCCCGGCGAGGGGAGUGAAAAAGAACCUGAAACCGUGUACGUACAAGCAGUGGGAGCACGCUUAGGCGUGUGACUGCGUACCUUUUGUAUAAUGGGUCAGCGACUUAUAUUCUGUAGCAAGGUUAACCGAAUAGGGGAGCCGAAGGGAAACCGAGUCUUAACUGGGCGUUAAGUUGCAGGGUAUAGACCCGAAACCCGGUGAUCUAGCCAUGGGCAGGUUGAAGGUUGGGUAACACUAACUGGAGGACCGAACCGACUAAUGUUGAAAAAUUAGCGGAUGACUUGUGGCUGGGGGUGAAAGGCCAAUCAAACCGGGAGAUAGCUGGUUCUCCCCGAAAGCUAUUUAGGUAGCGCCUCGUGAAUUCAUCUCCGGGGGUAGAGCACUGUUUCGGCAAGGGGGUCAUCCCGACUUACCAACCCGAUGCAAACUGCGAAUACCGGAGAAUGUUAUCACGGGAGACACACGGCGGGUGCUAACGUCCGUCGUGAAGAGGGAAACAACCCAGACCGCCAGCUAAGGUCCCAAAGUCAUGGUUAAGUGGGAAACGAUGUGGGAAGGCCCAGACAGCCAGGAUGUUGGCUUAGAAGCAGCCAUCAUUUAAAGAAAGCGUAAUAGCUCACUGGUCGAGUCGGCCUGCGCGGAAGAUGUAACGGGGCUAAACCAUGCACCGAAGCUGCGGCAGCGACGCUUAUGCGUUGUUGGGUAGGGGAGCGUUCUGUAAGCCUGUGAAGGUGUGCUGUGAGGCAUGCUGGAGGUAUCAGAAGUGCGAAUGCUGACAUAAGUAACGAUAAAGCGGGUGAAAAGCCCGCUCGCCGGAAGACCAAGGGUUCCUGUCCAACGUUAAUCGGGGCAGGGUGAGUCGACCCCUAAGGCGAGGCCGAAAGGCGUAGUCGAUGGGAAACAGGUUAAUAUUCCUGUACUUGGUGUUACUGCGAAGGGGGGACGGAGAAGGCUAUGUUGGCCGGGCGACGGUUGUCCCGGUUUAAGCGUGUAGGCUGGUUUUCCAGGCAAAUCCGGAAAAUCAAGGCUGAGGCGUGAUGACGAGGCACUACGGUGCUGAAGCAACAAAUGCCCUGCUUCCAGGAAAAGCCUCUAAGCAUCAGGUAACAUCAAAUCGUACCCCAAACCGACACAGGUGGUCAGGUAGAGAAUACCAAGGCGCUUGAGAGAACUCGGGUGAAGGAACUAGGCAAAAUGGUGCCGUAACUUCGGGAGAAGG